Molecule: RNA transcript, 1360 nt
Organism: Nicotiana attenuata
Lineage: Eukaryota; Viridiplantae; Streptophyta; Magnoliopsida; Solanales; Solanaceae
Gene name: ran-binding protein 1 homolog a-like
Exons: 5
Source: RefSeq, a predicted model, not a curated record
UAUAAACCUUUCUUCCUAUUCCCUAAUAUCCCACUUUCUCUCUCUCUUUACAAAACCUCUCUGUGAAGAAACACAGCAUCCGUACAAAAACAAUGGCAAGCAUAGAGCCCCAGCACGAGCACAGAGAAGAGGAAGAAGCGGCUGCCGGAGCCGAUGACGAAGAUACCGGAGCUCAGGUCGCGCCGAUCGUCAGACUGGAGGAAGUAGCCGUAAUAACUGGCGAAGAGGACGAAGAUGCUAUCCUCGAUUUGAAAGCUAAGCUUUAUCGAUUCGAUAAAGAUGGAAAUCAGUGGAAAGAGAGAGGUGCUGGUACUGUUAAGUUUUUGAAACAUAAGGAGACUGGAAAAGUUCGCCUUGUUAUGCGCCAAUCUAAGACUCUUAAGAUCUGUGUUAAUCAUCUAGUUAUUCCGACAAUGACGGUUCAGGAACAUGCUGGAAGUGAGAAAUCCUGUGUGUGGCAUGCAGCAGAUUUUGCUGAUGGUGAAUUGAAGGAUGAAUUUUUCUGUAUUAGAUUUGCGUCCAUCGAGAAUUGCAAGACCUUCAUGGAGACGUUUCAAGAGGUUGCUGAAUCACAAAAGAAGAAAGAGGAAAAUGAGGAUGCAUCUAAUGCUGCUGGCCUACUUGAGAAGUUGAGUGUUGAAGAUGAGAAGUCAGAAGAGAAGAGCGUGGAAAAAGCUGAAGAGAAAACGAAGGAAGACGACAUCAAAGAUGAGAAGCCUUCUGAUAAUGCAGAGAAAAAGGAUGAGACUGCUUCAGCCUGAGAGAUGUUAUGUCAUGUACACCAGAUGUAGUUGGUGAGGUUCAUAAUACCGCCACAUUUACCAACCAAAUUUGGUUAUAUUGUCUGGUCGAGUGCAAGGGUGGUUAAUUCGGUGUUGGUUUUGGGUGGGGUCGGUUUGUUUGGGGGGGAAGAGGGGGGGGGGGGUAUUUGUUUGUCCAUCUCUGAGGUGUUACAAUGUCUUGGAGAUACGUUAAGGUCAGGUCGUGUUCUCUGGUAGAGAAGAUUCAUUUUGAAGGAGGAGGGUAUAGCCUGGCCUUCUAUAUGGAUUGAGAAUUUGACACAUUCAUACAAUAAGUACAGAAUUGGUGGGAUUAUCUCCACACCAACAUGCCAAUCGGUAAUAAAGUCGAGAACUCAUGGUGGUUCAUACACUAUGGUACUUGGUCUUCUCUUCUUAGACUCGGAAUGCUGAAAUUUGCCAUCUAUCUACAUUUAGAAGCCCUUUGACCUGCCGAGGCAAUGUGUCAAAAUAAGUGAAAAUAUAUACUUCCUCUAAUGGGUGAAUUAGAGAAGCCAUGUUGUCCGCAACUUGAUUUGCUUCUCUAAAGCACUGUCUAAUGAUUAGACCUUUUUGUUCAA